This 131-nucleotide ribosomal RNA is filed under the name uncultured bacterium. Its description in RNAcentral is "partial 23S ribosomal RNA". It matches the Rfam family "Bacterial large subunit ribosomal RNA", at positions 1 to 131 of the family's 2925-position model. The record is from RNAcentral.
AUCAAGUGCCUUAAGGGUGUUCGGUGGAUGCCUUGGCGCUGAGAGGCGAUGAAGGACGUGCUACGCUGCGAUAAGCCGUGGGGAGCUGCGAAGAAACUUUGAUCCACGGAUUUCCGAAUGGGGAAACCCGG